RNAcentral lists this ribosomal RNA (725 nucleotides) under uncultured bacterium. RNAcentral describes it as "bacterial SSU rRNA". It matches the Rfam family "Bacterial small subunit ribosomal RNA", at positions 8 to 748 of the family's 1533-position model. The record is from RNAcentral.
AGAGUUUGAUCCUGGCUCAGGACGAACGCUGGCGGCGUGCUUUAUACAUGCAAGUCGAACGAUGAAGUUCCUUCGGGAAUGGAUUAGUGGCGAACGGGUGAGGAACACGUGAGAAACCUGCCUUUCAUUCUGGGAUAACACCGGGAAACCGGUGCUAAUACCGGAUACUCCAUCUUGGCGGCAUCGCCGAGCUGGGAAAAAAUUUUGAUGAAAGAUGGUCUCGCGGCCUAUCAGCUAGUUGGUGAGGUAAAGGCUCACCAAGGCGACGACGGGUAGCCGGCCUGAGAGGGCGACCGGCCACACUGGGACUGAGACACGGCCCAGACUCCUACGGGAGGCAGCAGUAGGGAAUAUUGGGCAAUGGGCGAAAGCCUGACCCAGCGACGCCGCGUGAGGGAUGAAGGUCUUCGGAUUGUAAACCUCUUUCAGUAGGGAAGAAGCGAAAGUGACGGUACCUAAAGAAGAAGCACCGGCUAACUAUGUGCCAGCAGCCGCGGUAAUACAUAGGGUGCAAGCGUUGUCCGGAAUUAUUGGGCGUAAAGAGCUCGUAGGUCGUUUGUCGCGUCGAUUGUGAAAAUCUGAGGCUCAACCUCAGACCUGCAGUCGAUACGGGCAAACUAGAGUGUGGUCGGGGAGACUGGAAUUCCUGGUGUAGCGGUGGAAUGCGCAGAUAUCANNNNNAACACCAAUGGCGNNNNCAGGUCUCUGGGCCAUAACUGACACUG